GUACUUACCUGGCAGGGGAGACACUAUGAUCAAGAAGGCGGUUUAUCCAGAGUGAGGCUUAUCCAUUGCACUCCGGCCUUGCUGACCCCUGCAAAUUCCCCAAAUGUGGGAAUCUUGACUGCAUAGUUUAUGGUAUUGGGGGACUGCGUUUGUGCUCUCCCCUU
Molecule: small nuclear RNA, 164 nt
Organism: Carassius auratus (goldfish)
Lineage: Eukaryota; Metazoa; Chordata; Actinopteri; Cypriniformes; Cyprinidae
Gene: U1
Rfam family: U1 spliceosomal RNA
About the family: U1 is a small nuclear RNA (snRNA) component of the spliceosome (involved in pre-mRNA splicing).
Source: Ensembl